This 121-nucleotide microRNA precursor is filed under the name Pongo pygmaeus (Bornean orangutan). RNAcentral describes it as "microRNA ppy-mir-492 precursor". Its record names the gene ppy-mir-492. The stretch from base 27 to 101 matches the Rfam family "mir-492 microRNA precursor family". The record is from miRBase by way of RNAcentral. Lineage: Eukaryota; Metazoa; Chordata; Mammalia; Primates; Hominidae.
CAACUACGAGCCACGGUACUACGAGGACCAUUGAGGACCUGCGGGACAAGAUUCUUGGUGCCACCAUUGAGAACUCCAGGAUUGUCCUGCACAUCAACAAUUGCUCAUCUGGCUGCAGAUG